RNA transcript from Saimiri boliviensis boliviensis (Bolivian squirrel monkey), 1376 nucleotides. It is a transcript of the gene named synaptonemal complex central element protein 1 like, with no coding region annotated. NCBI's taxonomy places the organism in Eukaryota, Metazoa, Chordata, Mammalia, Primates, Cebidae. The record is from RefSeq and is a predicted model, not a curated record.
CCCGCAGGAAGGCUGGUGCGCGCCAAGCUGCGGGAGGCGGAGCGGCGGCUGCGCUCGCCCUCUGAGGUCGAGGGCGCCAUGGCGGCGGAGGACGGGAGCUGGACAGAAGUUGGUAUUACAGGCUCGUAGCACCGGAGGUUUCUGAUGGAGCAGACAGCUUGAGGAAGGCCGGCCUUGCUGAACACAUUGGACAGAUCGGGUUUGGACCCCUCCCCCGCAGGUGACUGUGCACUGCAGGAAAGAGAAGAGGAAGAAGUCAAACACUCUGCUGAGAUCCUCCUGAGUACACAGUAUAUAUACCUUUACCUGGCCCCUGUCAUUAAUGGUGAGGUGGGCAGCACCAGAGUCCUCUGAAGAGCUGUGUGACAACAUCUGUUGGUUGGAAUGCUGGAAGGACCAGAACACAGCUUUGGGUUCCUGAGGACAUAAUGCUGUCUCGGACUUAGCAUCACAUACCAGUCCUAGCCAAAGUUUCACCCAAGUCUUCUGAAAAGAAGGGUGCCUCUAGCAUCUGACUUCGGACACACCAGGGUCUGUUAAUCAUGUGAAGGCAUUGCUAAGUCAGGGCGAGGAGAGAAUUCCACAGCUGGCUUCCCCGCAUCCUCCUCUUGGCUGGAUUUGGUCUCUGAAAAUGGAAAGCAAAUCAAACCUCUCUUCUUCCCAAGGAACUAUUCUCUCCCUGGAAUACCAGAAAGCUAUUGGAAAUGUUCUCAAAGAGCACUGGGUAUAUGAAAAACUUCAUAAUGUAUGAUGAAGUGAAACAGAGUGUACAGAUGUCUAUAACAUGAUUUCAGCAAAGAGGAAUAGAAAACGAUACUCAUGUCAUGACUCUGAGUCUGUCAAACAUGUUGGCUUCCAUAUGCCUAGGGAAAAAACAAAAUGAUACAGAUCAAGAUAUUAACACUGUCUAUUGCAGAUUUAAAAAUCUAGGGGGUUUACCUUUCUUCUUUAUAGUUCAUUGCCGUUAAAAUGUGUAUUAGAAAAUGUGUUACCUUUUAAUUAUUUCAUAUAUGUAUACUUAAAAAGUAUUUUUUCAUAUUUUGUGAAUUGCAUGGGCAUCUAUAGAUAAGGCCUUUCGGAUGUAAGAAUUUCUUCCUUUUCUGUAUCUUUGCUCUGUCUGUCUCUGAUUCUAAGAAGCCUUAUUAUGCUCAGUGGGACAGAAGCAGUAGAAAGGCACGUGCUCUGAAUAACGGGAAACUAGAGACCCACAUUCAUGCUUUGGUUUCAGGAACUACUUUAUGGGCACGUAUGCUUCCUCCCAAAUGGACAAGUGUGACAAUUGUUUAACCCCCAAAUAUGUGACAUUGUUGACAUCUAAAUAAAAUGCCUGCCUUCUGCUCACCGAGUAGAUGGUGGCUGUUGUUCCUUUGUUGCAA